This 720-nucleotide ribosomal RNA is filed under the name uncultured bacterium. Its description in RNAcentral is "bacterial SSU rRNA". It matches the Rfam family "Bacterial small subunit ribosomal RNA", at positions 91 to 795 of the family's 1533-position model. The record is from RNAcentral.
GCGAGCGGCGGAUGGGUGAGUAACACGRGGGGAAACCUGCCCCUAAGUCUGGGAUACCAUUUGGAAACAGGUGCUAAUACCGGAUAAUAAAGCAGAUCGCAUGAUCAGCUUUUGAAAGGCGGCGUAAGCUGUCGCUAAGGGAUGGCCCCGCGGUGCAUUAGCUAGUUGGUAAGGUAACGGCUUACCAAGGCGACGAUGCAUAGCCGAGUUGAGAGACUGAUCGGCCAUAUUGGGACUGAGACACGGCCCAAACUCCUACGGGAGGCAGCAGUAGGGAAUCUUCCACAAUGGACGCAAGUCUGAUGGAGCAACGCCGCGUGAGUGAAGAAGGUUUUCGGAUCGUAAAGCUCUGUUGUUGGUGAAGAAGGAUAGAGGUAGUAACUGGCCUUUAUUUGACGGUAAUCAACCAGAAAGUCACGGCUAACUACGUGCCAGCAGCCGCGGUAAUACGUAGGUGGCAAGCGUUGUCCGGAUUUAUUGGGCGUAAAGCGAGCGCAGGCGGAAAAAUAAGUCUAAUGUGAAAGCCCUCGGCUUAACCGAGGAACUGCAUCGGAAACUGUUUUUCUUGAGUGCAGAAGAGGAGAGUGGAACUCCAUGUGUAGCGGUGGAAUGCGUAGAUAUAUGGAAGAACACCAGUGGCGAAGGCGGCUCUCUGGUCUGCAACUGACGCUGAGGCUCGAAAGCAUGGGGUAGCGAACAGGAUUAGAUACCCUGGUAGUC